UAGGGAAGUCUUCCACAAUGGACGCAAGUCUGAUGGAGCAACGCCGCGUGAGUGAAGAAGAUCUUCGGAUCGUAAAACUCUGUUGUUAGAGAAGAACACGAGUGAGAGUAACUGUUCAUUCGAUGACGGUAUCUAACCAGCAAGUCACGGCUAACUACGUGCCAG
This 165-nucleotide ribosomal RNA is filed under the name uncultured bacterium. Its description in RNAcentral is "partial 16S rRNA". It matches the Rfam family "Bacterial small subunit ribosomal RNA", at positions 355 to 511 of the family's 1533-position model. The record is from RNAcentral.